AUUGAACGCUGGCGGUAGGCCUAACACAUGCAAGUCGAACGCGAAAGUCCUUCGGAUGAGUAGAGUGGCGGACGGGUGAGUAACGCGUAGGAAUCUAUCCUGUAGUGGGGGAGUAACGUUUCGAAAGGAACGCUAAUACCGCAUACGCCCCAAGGGGAAAGCGGGGAGUCUUCGGACCUCGUGCUAUAGGAGGAGCCUGCGUCGGAUUAGCUAGUUGGUGAGGUAAAGGCUCACCAAGGCGACGAUCCGUAGCUGGUCUGAGAGGAUGAUCAGCCACACCGGAACUGAGACACGGUCCGGACUCCUACGGGAGGCAGCAGUGGGGAAUUUUGGACAAUGGGCGCAAGCCUGAUCCAGCCAUGCCGCGUGCGGGACGAAGGCCUCGGUUGUAA
This 392-nucleotide ribosomal RNA is filed under the name uncultured bacterium. RNAcentral's name for it is "bacterial SSU rRNA". It matches the Rfam family "Bacterial small subunit ribosomal RNA", at positions 30 to 428 of the family's 1533-position model. The record is from RNAcentral.